CAUGCGGAAUUCUACAAUGCAAGUCGAGCGGCUGCGAUUAAGAUCUUGUGCUACUUUUGCCGGCGAGCGACGGACGGGUGAGUAAUGCCUGACCUGUUGCCCAGACUGGGGGGAUAACGGUUGACCACGACUGCUACUACCGCAUACUCCCUACCGGGGGAAGCAGGGUACCUUCGGGGCUUGCGCUGUUGCUUAUGCCCGGGUGGGAUUCGCUAUAUGGAGAUGGAAUGGUUCCCCAAGGCCACGAUCCCUAUGUGGACUCAAACGAUGAGGGUGCUCACUGGAACUGAGACUGAGUCCCGACUCCUACUCCAGGCGGAGGUGGGGAAUAUUGCUCUUCGGGGGAGACCCUGAUGCUGACAUGCCACCUGCGUGAGAAAGGUCUUCGGUUUGUAAAGCACUUUCUCUGAUGAGGAAAGGUAACAAGCGAAUAUCUGCUGACUGGGACCCUUGUCGGAAACUAACCACCGGGUAACUCCUAGCCACCUGCCGCCGUAAUACGGAAGGCGCAAGUGUUAAUCGUAAUUACUGGUUAUUGAGCGCACGCCGGGCGCUGGAUAAUUCUUAUGUGAAAUGCCCAGGCUCACCCUGCAACUUGGAUUUAAAAUUGUCCACUUGGAGUCUUGUAGUGCAGGGGAAGAAUUCCAGGUGUAAUGUGUAAAUGCGAAAAGAUCUGGAGUAUUACCGAACGCCAAUGCGGAACGCUGCAUUCUGACUGACACUUGAGUGUGAGAGCGUGAGGAGCGAACAGGAUUAGAUAUUAUGGUCCCCCACGCCGUACACCAUGUACAAUGAGUGCUGUGGCCUUGAGGACUUCCGUUCUUGAGCUAACAAGUUAAAUCGUCCGCCUGUGCGGCAGGGCAGUACGGCCAAAACUCUGAAAAUUGACGAAUUCCCGCACGAGCGCUCGAGCAUGUGAUCUUGUUCGAUACUUCGAAAAAACGCUUACCAGCUCAUGACGUCUCGACAUCCUCGGACAGAUCUAGAGAUGCCGUCUGGCAUUCGAACGCAGGAUGCUGCAGUGGCUGCAUGGCAUCUCGUGUCCUCAGAUGUUG
This 1055-nucleotide ribosomal RNA is filed under the name Aeromonas sp. Its description in RNAcentral is "bacterial SSU rRNA". It matches the Rfam family "Bacterial small subunit ribosomal RNA", at positions 36 to 1077 of the family's 1533-position model. Lineage: Bacteria; Pseudomonadati; Pseudomonadota; Gammaproteobacteria; Aeromonadales; Aeromonadaceae. The record is from RNAcentral.